RNAcentral lists this ribosomal RNA (484 nucleotides) under uncultured bacterium. RNAcentral's name for it is "partial 16S ribosomal RNA". It matches the Rfam family "Bacterial small subunit ribosomal RNA", at positions 30 to 507 of the family's 1533-position model. The record is from RNAcentral.
AUUGAACGCUGGCGGCAGGCCUAACACAUGCAAGUCGAGCGGAUGAACGGAGCUUGCUCCUGGAUCCAGCGGCGGAAGGGUGUGUAAUGCCUAGGAAUAUGCUUGGCAGUGGGGGAUAACGUCCUGAAACGGGCGCUAAUACCGCAUACGUCCUGAGGGUGCAAGUGGGGGAUCUUCGGACCUUACGCUCUCAGAUGAGUCUAGGUCGGAUUAGCUAGUUGGUGGGGUAAAGGCCUACCAAGGCGACGAUCCGUAACUGGUCUGAGAGGAUGAUUAGUCACACUGGAACUGGGACACGGACCAGGCUCCUACGAGACGCAGCAGUGUGGAAUAUUGGACAGUGGUGGAAAGCCUGAUCCAGCCAUGGCACGUGUGUGGAGGAGGUCUUCGGAUUGGAAAGCACUUUAAGUUGGGGGAAAGGGCAGUAGGUUAAUACCUUGCUGUUUUGACGUUACCAGCAGAAUAAGCACCGGCUAACUUCGUG